RNAcentral lists this ribosomal RNA (757 nucleotides) under uncultured bacterium. RNAcentral describes it as "bacterial SSU rRNA". It matches the Rfam family "Bacterial small subunit ribosomal RNA", at positions 569 to 1338 of the family's 1533-position model. The record is from RNAcentral.
GUGCAGGUGGUUGGGUAAGUCGGGCAUGAAACCUCUUGGCUUAACUGAGAGAAGCUGCUCGAUACUGCUUGACUUGAGGACAUAAGAGGGAGAUGGAAUUCCGCAUGUAGUGGUGAAAUGCGUAGAUAUGCGGAGGAACACCAGUGGCGAAGGCGGUCUCCUGGUAUGUACCUGACACUCAGACGCGAAGGCUAGGGGAGCGAACGGGAUUAGAAACCCCGGUAGUCCUAGCAGUAAACGAUGAUUACUAGGUGUUAGUGGUAACCAAACCACUAGUGCCGAAGCUAACGCGAUAAGUAAUCCGCCUGGGGACUACGAUCGCAAGAUUAAAACUCAAAGGAAUUGACGGGGACCCGCACAAGCAGCGGAGCGUGUGGUUUAAUUCGAGGCUACGCGAAGAACCUUACCCAGGUUUGACAUGUAGGUAGUAGUGAAGCGAAAGCGGAACGACCCUUCGGGGAGCCUAUACAGGUGAUGCAUGGCUGUCGUCAGCUCGUGCCGUGAGGUGUUUGGUUAAGUCCACUAACGAGCGCAACCCUCGGGGCCAGUUACAAGUGUCUGGCGCGACUGCCGGUCUUAAGCCGGAGGAAGGUGGGGAUGACGUCAAGUCAGCAUGUCCUUUAUAUCUGGGGCUACACACACGCUACAAUGGGUAAUACAAUGGGUUGCCAAGCCGCGAGGCGGAGCCAAUCCUCCAAAAUUACCCUCAGUUCAGAUCGCAGGCUGCAACUCGCCUGCGUGAAGUCGGAGUUGCUAG